UAGGGAAUAUUGGACAAUGGGGGCAACCCUGAUCCAGCCAUGCCGCGUGAGUGAAGAAGGCCCUCGGGUUGUAAAGCUCUUUUGUCCGGAAAGAAAAGCAUUCGGUGAAUACCCGGAUGUUCUGACGGUACCGGAAGAAUGAGCACCGGCUAACUUCGUGCCAGCAGCCGCGGUAAUACGAAGGGUGCAAGCGUUACUCGGAAUUACUGGGCGUAAAGCGUGCGUAGGUGGUUGUUUAAGUCUGAUGUGAAAGCCCUGGGCUCAACCUGGGAAUGGCAUUGGAAACUGGGCAGCUAGAGUGCGGUAGAGGGUAGUGGAAUUCCCGGUGUAGCAGUGAAAUGCGUAGAGAUCGGGAGGAACAUCUGUGGCGAAGGCGACUGCCUGGACCAGCACUGACACUGAGGCACGAAAGCGUGGGGAGCAAACA
Molecule: ribosomal RNA, 427 nt
Filed under: uncultured bacterium
Lineage: Bacteria
Description: bacterial SSU rRNA
Rfam family: Bacterial small subunit ribosomal RNA
Source: RNAcentral